GGUGUAGCUCAAUGGUAGUGUGUGUGUUUAGCAUGCACAAAGCACUGAGUUCAAUCCCCAGCACC
RNAcentral lists this transfer RNA (65 nucleotides) under Marmota marmota marmota (Alpine marmot). It matches the Rfam family "tRNA". Rfam says of the family: Transfer RNA (tRNA) molecules are approximately 80 nucleotides in length. Lineage: Eukaryota; Metazoa; Chordata; Mammalia; Rodentia; Sciuridae. RNAcentral also lists the same sequence under 3 other names. The record is from Rfam by way of RNAcentral.